CAAUAGCGUAUAUUUAAGUUGUUGCAGUUAAAAAGCUCGUAGUCGGAUUUUGGCUGAGAACGAACGGUCCGCCGUUAGGUGUGCACUGUUUGGUCUCAGCUUCCUGGUGAGGAGGUGUGCUUCACGGCCACUUAGUCACCGUGGUUACUUUGAAAAAAUUAGAGUGUUCAAAGCGGGCUUACGCUUGAAUAUAUUAGCAUGGAAUAACACCAUAGGACUCCUGUCCUAUUUCGUUGGUCUCGGGACGGGAGUAAUGAUUAAGAGGAACAGUUGGGGGCAUUCGUAUUUCAUUGUCAGAGGUGAAAUUCUUGGAUUUAUGAAAGACGAACUUCUGCGAAAGCGUUUGCCAAGGAUGUUUUCAUUGA
Molecule: ribosomal RNA, 365 nt
Filed under: uncultured eukaryote
Lineage: Eukaryota
Description: partial 18S ribosomal RNA
Rfam family: Eukaryotic small subunit ribosomal RNA
Source: RNAcentral